GAAAUGCGAUAAGUAGUGUGAAUUGCAGAAUUCAGUGAAUCAUCGAAUCUUUGAACGCACAUUGCGCCCUUUGGUAUUCCUUAGGGCAUGCCUGUUCGAGCGUCAUUUGUAACCUCAAGCUCAGCUUGGUGUUGGGUGUCUGUCCCCGCCCCGCGCGGGGACUCGCCUCAAAAACAUUGGCGGCCGGUACGUUGGCUUCGAGCGCAACAGAAACGCGAACUCGAGGCCCGACGGAUCGGCGACCAGAAGUCACUUCUUCCACAGCUUGACCUCGGAUCAGGUAGGGAUACCCGCUGAACUUAAGC
RNAcentral lists this unclassified non-coding RNA (305 nucleotides) under plant metagenome. RNAcentral's name for it is "partial contains 5.8S ribosomal RNA, internal transcribed spacer 2, and large subunit ribosomal RNA". The stretch from base 1 to 105 matches the Rfam family "5.8S ribosomal RNA", at positions 50 to 154 of the family's 154-position model. The record is from RNAcentral.